RNAcentral lists this ribosomal RNA (2808 nucleotides) under Triticum aestivum (bread wheat). Its description in RNAcentral is "partial small subunit ribosomal RNA". The record is from RNAcentral. Lineage: Eukaryota; Viridiplantae; Streptophyta; Magnoliopsida; Poales; Poaceae.
AUGGCCGUGCCGAGGCAGCUGCUCCGCGUUACGAUGAUCUUGACCAUGUUCUUGGUCAGACACGCCGGAGCUCAGGGAGCAUUCUUCCCGAUGCCCCGCCACCCGAGAUUGCCAGCCCUGCCACCGACACCAGGAGGCACCCUCUGCGUCCCCCGCGAGCGGGACGCGCUUCUGGACUUCAAGGACGGCCUCACCGACCCCAUCAACUUCCUGUCGUCAUGGCGAGGUGUGGAGUGCUGCCUGUGGACGGGCAUCAUUUGCAGCAACCGGACAGGCCAUGUCGUCAUGCUCAAGAUCAACAGCGGAUGGCCGUUCGACUCGUCCAUGCACCGCGUUGGAGGUGAGAUACGCUCCUCCUUGCUCACCUUAAGACAUCUGAAGCAGUUGGACCUCUCAGACAACAACUUCGGCGGCCAACCCAUCCCGGAGCUCAUAGGAGCCCUCGGGUGUGGGCGUCUCACGCAUCUUGACCUCUCCGGCUCCAAUUUUGGUGGCCGGAUUCCUCCCCACCUCGGCAACCUUUCGAACCUGGUCAGCCUUCAGCUCAACUAUAUGGCAGAUGGCUCCUACUCGCCUGAUCUCACAUGGGUGUCGUGCCUACAGAAGCUUCAGGUCCUCGGAAUGUCUGAGGUGGACCUUAGCGCUGCCACCAGCUGGCUUCAUGAUAUCAACAUGCUCCCCCGUUUGGCAGACCUUGAUUUAAGUUAUUGUGCGCUUCAGAACUCUAUGUCUCCCCCGGCGCAUUCCAAUCUCACAUCGCUGGAGAACCUCAACCUUAUUUCAAACUCCUUCAACACAUCUCUUGGAGCCAAAAAUUUGCUUUGGGAUCUACCCGGCCUCCAAAGUCUCUUCCUAACUGGUUGCGGAAUCGAUGGUCCAAUCCCUGACGCAGUGGGGAACUUAACCUCUCUUCAGAGUUUGUAUCUUGGUUCAAACAAGUUCACUGGCAUGGUGCCGUUGAGCUUCCGGAAACUACAGAAUCUAACAGAGCUCGUAUUAGACACCAACUUCAUCAUCAUGGACAUGGCAGAUCUAAUGCAUCGGUUAGGGCACUUAAGCAGCUUGGCCACAAUCAACCUUGACAACAACGAGUUGUAUGGAGAUGUACCCGUUAGUGUACGGGAACUCAUAAAUUUGAACCAAUUAUCACUGGCCCACAACAACUUACAUGGUACAAUCACCGAGGACCAUUUCACAUAUCUGACCGCCUUACAAACCCUAGAUAUCUCUGAUAAUUCCUUAACUAUGAAGGUCGAUAGUACAUGGAAAGCUCCAUUCAACUUAUCCUAUGCAGGCUUUAGAUCUUGUAUACUAGGGCCCAAGUUUCCAUCUUGGCUUAACCAACCAACGACCUAUUAUCUUGAUGUUUCGAACACAAGCAUACAUGAUAGCAUACCUCUCUGGAUUGUUAAUCCCUCUUUUGAAUAUUUGGAUUUGUCAAGAAAUCGGCUUGUUGGCAUGCUUCCUAACCUAUUAUCUUCCUUGCAAAUACUGGAUGUCAGUUUUAACGAGAUUGUUGGCCCAAUUCCAAAACUUCCAAAUAGUCUAUUAUACUUGGACCUCUCCGGAAACAAUCUGUCAGGCGCACUGCCAUCAGUUAUAGGAGCACCAAUGCUAGAAGUACUCCUUCUCUUCAAUAAUUCCUUUUCGGGAACUAUUCCAUGCUCCAUGCUUCAGUUGCAACAGUUGAAAUUUUUAGACCUAUCAAAAAACCUACUAGAUGGGCGAUUGCCCAGUUGCUCUCGAGGAUUCGAUACCUCAACUAUUACCUUGCUUAAAUUGAACAACAACCAUAUUUUAGGAGCAUUCCCGUUGUUUCUUCAGAAAUGCAGAGAGCUAAAACUUUUGGAUCUGGCAUACAACAAAUUUUCUGGGAGCUUACCAACAUGGAUUGAGUCAAAGUUGCCACAAUUGGCACUUCUAAAUUUGCGCUCAAACAUGUUCUCUGGCGGCAUCCCUGAUCAACUAACUAGGAUGAAGGGGCUUCAAUUUUUAGACAUUGCAUGCAACAACAUCUCAGGGAACAUACCACGAUCACUUGGGAAUCUCAAAGCUAUGACUUCUACUUCCAAUAAUAGUGGUGGCCUUUUUGACCUUGUCAAUUAUAUUGUAGUUGGUGGAGUUUCUAAGGCCAUGUCCGCUGAUGCUUAUACUGUAGAGGUGGGGAUAAAAGGUCAAGUGCUUGAAUAUACCAAAGGGAUAGCAUACAUGGUAAACCUUGAUUUUUCCAGCAACAGUUUGACAGGGCGGAUUCCUAAGGAAAUUGGCAUGCUCAUUGCAUUAAAGAACUUAAACUUCUCCUGGAAUAGCCUGACUGACAUAAUACCCCAAAGCAUCGGUGCGCUACAAGCUUUGGAAUCUUUUGACCUCUCGCACAAUGGGCUCUCUGGUGAAAUCCCUACAAGCAUAUCAUCUCUAACGUCACUAACCCGCUUGAACUUGUCAUAUAAUGAUCUGACUGGGACUAUACCAUCCGGGAACCAAUUAAGAACACUAGAGGACCAAGCGUCCAUAUAUAUUGGCAACCCAGGUCUAUGUGGUCCACCUGUCCCAGGGAAUUGCUCACGAAUUGACAUAAUUCCAUAUGCUCCCCAAGAGCAUAAUGAAGGAAUGAGUGAUGUGGUUUCGUUAUACCUCAGCAUGUGCAUAGGAUUUGUAGUAGGUCUGUGGAUUGUCUUUUGUGGCUUCUUGUUCAAGAAAAAAUGGAGGAUCGGUUGGCUCUCAUUUACAGACCACAUGUAUGAUCGAGCUUAUGUGCACGUGGCCAUGGGUUGGGCUUCACUGGCAAGAAAUAUCCAUCAAGGAUGA